Molecule: ribosomal RNA, 253 nt
Filed under: uncultured bacterium
Lineage: Bacteria
Description: partial 16S ribosomal RNA
Rfam family: Bacterial small subunit ribosomal RNA
Source: RNAcentral
CACGUAGGGUGCGAGCGUUGUCCGGAAUUAUUGGGCGUAAAGAGCUCGUAGGCGGUGUGUCGCGUCGGCUGUGAAAACCCGAGGCUCAACCUCGGGCCUGCAGUCGAUACGGGCAGACUAGAGUGCGGUAGGGGAGACUGGAAUUCCUGGUGUAGCGGUGAAAUGCGCAGAUAUCAGGAGGAACACCGGUGGCGAAGGCGGGUCUCUGGGCCGUAACUGACGCUGAGGAGCGAAAGCGUGGGGAGCGAACAGG